CCCACCCCAGCCCAGAUACAUACACCCAUGAGAGAAAGUUCUUUCUCGGAGAGUUGGAAUUUAAUUUCUUUACCCUUUGAAAAAUUAAAAUAAGGAAUAACACUCAAUAACAUUGUCAGAAAUGGCAAUUAAGCUUUGCCUUGAGUGGCUGAUGAGGCCACUUCCAAUAUCAGGCAUGAACUAGUAAUAUCCUUGCCUGUAUCUAAGUGCAUUGUUAUAAUUAUUAACUAUAAAGCAAAUGGGGUUUGUAAGGGAAAAACAGUUUUAAUUAUUUAAUAUGUUAGAACAACACAGCCUUGCUGAUGCCAUUUCUGCAAAUUCACAUCUAGCAUCAAAUAGGCUGUACAUACAUAACUUGCUACCUCUCUGCACGGACUGUAAUUUUAAAGUCUGGAAAACCAUAUAAUUAUUACUUCAAGUGAAGAGGGCUUCAGAGUGUAACUGCUAAAAAGGACGUGUUCAAAUGAAAGUAAACACAUACUGAGGGACCAGAGACAGGACUGUGAAGUGUCAGGCAAUGGAACUACAUCAGGGAUUUCAACACUUGAAUCAUGCACUGAUGAUCUAUUUUGGUAUCUUUCUUUUCUUUUAUAGACACUGUUUCAGAAGAGCCUUAAUUCCUCUUUUGGCUGAUAGAGUUUGGGGAAAGAGUCAUCUUUAAUAAGAUGGCUGUAUGUACUAAAGAGAAGAGCGCAUAGAACAGAAACACUGAACUUUGAAACCAGAAGGCAUGAUUCAAAUCCAACCACAGUCUUCUUGAUUACCACAUACGUCACCAAGCUUGAGAAUCUCUCUCCAGGUCAGUGGACUUACAAAAUACAGUCUGUCCCACAGACACGUGACAUUAAACCAUUUGGCUCGUGUAAAAGAACUGCAAAUAACGAAGCUAUGCAUAUUCAUCUUAGAAAAGGCAAACCUAGAGGAUGUCAUUGUCCUCCAUCGUCUGCCAGGCCAGACAUUUCCUGACCCUAUGAGAGGAGGAAAGAAGAGAGGAGUAGAGGUGGAAAGAAAGAGUCAUUUGCAUAGACAGACAAUGCUUUUGAGAAAAGGCAGAAGAAAAGUGCAUGAAUUUCACUUUCCAGGGCAGGUCCUGAGAGAUGGCACGUACUUCUAGCCAGUAAAUAAAUGACUGAUGGUAAAAAACCACAUGGCAGUUGUCAUUUGUAAGGGAAACAGAAGAAAAGGGGAAAGAAACUUUCAAUAUUCUCAUGGUCUGAACAUUCAAGAAUUUCAAAAACUUCUUUAUUUUGAAAUUAUCUUUUAAACUGUUGAGCUGUAUUUCUUGCAUGUGGUACAGAGAUUAAAAUAACUGAAUAUCAUUUACUAGCAUUACAAUUGUAAAAGAAGACCCUGAUAAUGUCUAUAUUUUAGUAAAUUCAAAGUUCAUUUGUUACAUGGCACAGCACUUAUUUUUAGAAGAAUGCUCUGUAUUGUGCAUUAUAUAAUUGCUUGAUUUUCUUUCAAAAUUUUGUUUUGUUUUUUAAUACCUUGAACAACACCUUGUACAUUAUGUUCAAUAAUUAUAUAUAAUGCUACAUAUUUUAACAUUUUUUAUAAGAAAGGUAAAAAAUAGUAUAGACCUUAGCAAGUCUUUAUUUCUACUAAAAACUACCCAAAAUAACUUAAAUCAGCUUCAUCCAUUUAUAUAAAAUAAAAAAUAAAGACAUUUCUUGUUUUGUUAUUUUUUUGUUCCUCAUCCAAGGAUUUGUAUUUUGUCAGGACAAUUUUAAGAAAAACACACACACACACAAUAAUGUAUCUUUCAUCAUUUUAUAAAAUAUAUAUCAGUUCAAAUUAAAUUUAAUAAGCAGGCAUAUAUUGUAUGUAUCAAAUACAUAUGCAACAAUGUUCU
Molecule: long non-coding RNA, 1852 nt
Filed under: Ovis aries (sheep)
Lineage: Eukaryota; Metazoa; Chordata; Mammalia; Artiodactyla; Bovidae
Description: lncRNA (ENSOARG00000026875.1)
Source: RNAcentral